CGCCAGGGUCUUGAAGCUGGAACAUUGCAAGCGGGAGACGAUAGUAAAGCUGGUGAGCAUCGAGCAACCGGACUCGUUCUGCUACGCGGCCGUGUCGCGCGGCGGCCGCGUGGGCGUCUACUGCGGCGAGUUGAGGCUGUUGCACUCCUACGAGGUCUUCUUCCACCGCACCGGAGUUAAUCGUCGCGUUAAAAAUUCCUGGAUAACUGAUGCCGUUUAUUUAAGCGAUGUGCAGUGUCUCUUGCUGUCGG
RNAcentral lists this unclassified non-coding RNA (251 nucleotides) under Melitaea cinxia (Glanville fritillary). RNAcentral's name for it is "misc RNA ENSMCXG00005000492.1". The record is from RNAcentral. Lineage: Eukaryota; Metazoa; Arthropoda; Insecta; Lepidoptera; Nymphalidae.